Molecule: long non-coding RNA, 990 nt
Organism: Mus musculus (house mouse)
Lineage: Eukaryota; Metazoa; Chordata; Mammalia; Rodentia; Muridae
Product: predicted gene, 32330
Exons: 2
Source: RefSeq, a predicted model, not a curated record
UCCCCAUCUUUCAGACAUGUUUGUUGCUCUGCAAUGGAAGAAGUGAGCUACUUGUCCAGCAGAGAGGAAGAAAGGAUGGAAUCACCUUCUCCCAGUAGGUCCCAUCAUGCUUUGGGUCCUUGAUCCAACCGACCUUCAGCAGAGAAGACAGAGACAGAGUGUGCUGAGGAAAGCCCCUGAAGAGCUAAACCUGAGGCCACAAGUUUGAUUAUGGGUGAAGGAUGGCCCUUUCGCUGGAGGCAGAAACCCAAGGAACCAUCAUGGACAGUGACAAACUGGGAACUCACAGCAAUACUGGAAGCUGAGUGAUCGGAGGUUCUGUGGCAGAUAUUUGCUCAAGACAGAAGCUGGCAGUGUAGCAUUCCAGCCAGUACUAUGGCUGCCAUUUAUGAAGACCCUACAGCUCUCUUCACCAGACACUGAGGCACACCUUCACAGGAGUAACCAGCCAUUCACCCUCCCAACCAGUUCCUGCCUGGAGGAUAUAAUGUAACAGACAGGAAAGCCUGAGAGAGGUUGCUGCAGGAUAGGGGUCAGACUGGUCCAGUAUCCUUCCACCAUGAGGACUCCCGGGACUUUCAGUGCACACCUGCAGGCAGUGUACAGUGGUUACUGUAUCCAGCAUCCUUCCACCUUGUGGACUCCUGGGGGUUUCAGUACACACCUGCAGGCAGUGUACAGUGGUUACUGUAUCCAGCAUCCUUCCACCUUGUGGACUCCUGGGGGUUUCAGUACACACCUGCAGGCAGUGUACAGUGGUUGCUGUAUCCAGCAUCCUUCCACCUUGUGGACUCCUGGGGGUUUCAGUACACACCUGCAGGCAGUGUACAGUGGUUGCUGUAUCCAGCAUCCUUCCACCUUGUGGACUCCUGGGGGUUUCAGUACACACCUGCAGGCAGUGUACAGUGGUUGCUGUAUCCAGCAUCCUUCCACCUUGUGGACUCCUGGGGGUUUCAGUACACACCUGCAGGCAGUGUACAGUGGUUGCUG